RNA transcript from Vespa mandarinia (Asian giant hornet), 2093 nucleotides. RefSeq lists it as uncharacterized. The record is from RefSeq and is a predicted model, not a curated record. Lineage: Eukaryota; Metazoa; Arthropoda; Insecta; Hymenoptera; Vespidae.
AUCGCCUCCAAUGAUAAAGCAAUUUCUAAAUAUAUUUCUAGAAAGGGAAGCCUUAAGUUAUUAUGAACAGUAAUAAUAAUCGUUUAGUUCUUUGGCGUUAGGCUUCGUGUAAACACGGUUUAGGAAAUAAAGAAGACUUUGCGAGAGAAAAACUAGCGGAUAAAUAAAAUUAAAAAAGAUGAAAAUCGAAGAGACAAGCGAGGAAAGAGAGUUGUGUGAACUGUUGAUGAACAAGUUAUACUGUGACAUAGAUUUUCGUAAUAAGAUCGCCAAGCAAAGUUACGACGAAAUGCGAAAAGAGCUCGAAGAUAUGUUAGGGGAACGUCUGCAUUUGAUCCCGGAUAUAUAUUUGGAAAGUUUUUAUUAUUCGAAUUUUCCUGGAAAUUACGACAGACCGUCUUCCGAAAAACCCGACUGGCUAGAUUUAAAAAAGUUUCAAAGGGGCCAACAUUUCGCUCGCAAUAAUUUGGCUGGACUUUUCAUAGGACAGUUAUACGGUUUGCUCUGUCUACUUUGCCAUGCUGAAGGUCUACAAACGAUGAUAAUGACGCAGAAAUCUCACACGCCUUAUUUAGCGUUCAAAAGAUAUUUGUCGACCAGUCAACGUAUACGCAACUGGUACACGGAAGAUCCUUGGUGCGAAGAUACGAAAGCGUACAAAGACAUUCAAACGGUCAAGAGAAUGCAUCUUGCUGCGAACAAAAAAAUCAGUGAACUUGAUUGCAAGGAAAUGGAAUCUAUGAGUACUAUAAAAAAUCCUUACUGUCCGGCCUUUCGAUUUAUAACAGAUGAUUUUUCCAGGAUAUUGCCACCAGACUCGUUGUUGGCUCGUUUAUAUGUAGAACAUUUGAAACAUUUGCGUAGAAAUUUAAUGAGAAUUAAUCAGAUUGAGAUGAACUAUACUCUUUUCGGGUUUAUGGGCCUGGCCAUACUUUUCCCUCAUCGUUUUGGUAUUUACCCGGUGAUAGACGAGGAUCUCGAAAAUUUUUGUUACGUCUGGAGGUGUAUCGGUUAUCUCUUGGGAGUGGACGACAAAAUAAAUAUUUGCCGGGGCAGUUUGAAAGACGUAAAGGGCCGUUGCCAAAGGUACAUAGACGAAUUGGUGAAACCUGCGUUUCAAAGACUCGAGCCACAAUGGGAACAUAUGAUAAGAUGCAUCAUCGAAGGAAAUUGUUAUUUUAUGACCAAUUGUAACUUUGAGACAGUAAUCUUGUGCAUUGCCGAUAUAAUUAACAUCGAAAUGCCGUCUUUGUACUUUUCGUUGAAUUACUAUCAACGGAUCGUUUACUAUUUAAAUAAAUAUUUCCUACAAUACGGAUUGCAAUAUUCGUUUAUACGGCGUUUCGUUAAUAAAUUGUUUAAUUCAUUGCUCGACGGUGCUCUCAAUUUCGACGACUCGAAAAUUGCCGAAUUGAAGAAAAAAUCGAUGAAUUCGGUAUUGCACGUUUCCGUUGGCAAAUGAUAUAGCAUUUGUGUACGCAGCGACGCUAAUUUUUGCUAAAUGAGACGCUAAAAAAAAAAAAAGAAACGGCAGUAUCAAAGGACAGAUUAAAAAUUAUUGAAUAACCAUUUGAUAAAUCGGAGCAUAGUUCGAUUAUGUAACCUCUUUAAUGUCGUCAUUGUUAUCGAUGCUGGAUACGUAGAGGAUAUAUCAUAUGUAAUAGGUUCAUAAAGUAAAACAGCUCGAGGAGUGACGUGUAAAAUAAUUCUUGAAUGAGGCGGCACUUGGAAAGGACGUUUGAAAGGCCUUUGUUAAUCGGUACGCGAAUUAAUAGAAAGUUCAAUCGCGCGCGCGUAAUACGUAACGUACCAUACGUAAGCGCUUUUUUCUUUCACCUUCUCUGAUUGGUCUGUCCGUUCAACGUAUGAAAAUCUUUCUUUGGAGCGACAAAGGCAAAUCGCAAUAUCCCAUAUAGUCAAUCGAAAUCAUAACCUCUUUAAGGGAUGCUCGAUUCAAUGAAAAAAUCCUCGAUUGCGAACAAAUACAAAAAUGGAUUUGAAUCUGCAUUGAAUCUUCAAGUGUACAAAAGUUAUUUUCCACCAGAGUCCGACUAUAGAUACGUACAAAUAUCGAUUUAAUUCAUAAAUAAUGC